This 604-nucleotide ribosomal RNA is filed under the name uncultured bacterium. Its description in RNAcentral is "bacterial SSU rRNA". It matches the Rfam family "Bacterial small subunit ribosomal RNA", at positions 338 to 1414 of the family's 1533-position model. The record is from RNAcentral.
CCUACGGGAGGCAGCAGUGGGGAAUUUUCCGCAAUGGGCGAAAGCCUGACGGAGCAACGCCGCGUGAGGGAUGAAGGCCUCUGGGCUGUAAACCUCUUUUAUCAAGGAAGAAGAUCUGACGGUACUUGAUGAAUAAGCCACGGCUAAUUCCGUGCCGGCAGCCGCGGUAAUACGGGAGUGGCAAGCGUUAUCCGGAAUUAUUGGGCGUAAAGCGUCCGCAGGCGGUCUUGUAAGUCUGUCGUUAAAGCGUGGAGCUCAACUCCAUUUCGGCGGUGGAAACUACAAGACUAGAGUGUGGUAGGGGCAGAGGGAAUUCCCGGUGUAGCGGUGAAAUGCGUAGAUAUCGGGAAGAACACCAGUGGCGAAGGCGCUCUGCUGGGCCAUAACUGACGCUCAUGGACGAAAGCUAGGGGAGCGAAAGGGAUUAGAUACCCCUGUAGUCCUAGCCGUAAACGAUGAACACUAGGUNUCGGGGGAAUCGACCCCCUCGGUGUCGUAGCUAACGCGUUAAGUGUUCCGCCUGGGGAGUACGCACGCAGUGUGAACUACAAAGGAAAGUUAGACGGCGUGAGACGUGCCGAACGGACGACGACGAGGGAGUAGG